GUGGCAGAACAACAGAUUUUUUACUUGACAGUUCAGGGAUUUGAUCCAGCAACCUUUCAGUUACUGACCAAACACUCUAACCACUGGGCUACCUGCCGCCUGCAGUUUGUAUGUUUUACACGGACUGUUUAAAUAAUGAACCUGGAAUGUCUUGCCAGUCAGAUACUGUGUUUUAUGUUUGUCCUAGAUAUACUGUAAAAGGCCCGGACCCUCUCUGUGCUGUGUGAAUAGCAGGUUGGCAUUUUUUGGGCUGACUUAUGUACUGGAGGCAGCUCUGCAGGGUAGUCACUAGCUGGCACAGCCACAAUGUCAUAAAAUCAGAUUUUAAACCUAACCUUAACCGAACUGCUAACCUUAUGCUUAACCUUAAGGUUAAGCAAAAAAAAACAUGUUUUUGUUUUCAUUCAUUUUUUACAAUAUAUAGCCAGUUUUGACUUUGUUGCUGGCCCAUUAGUAGAAAUCACUCAGCUCUGCCUCCAGGACAAGAUACAUUCCAAUAAACGUAAACUUCCUGCGCACAUGUGACCUAAAAGUCAGUAGACUUCUCUUCCACCAGAGAUAAAGGCACUGACUUUGCUCCAUUCUCAUGGGGCCCAGGAUCAGCAAGCUGCACCAGGGAGGCUCUACUCCAACUACCAGCGACAGCAUGGAGCACAGACUCCUGCUCCAGGCCUCUGUGCUGCCUAAGGCCCUCUCUGUGACCUCAUGUGCAUCACUGCCCUCCUCCUGCCAGUCUGUCCAGCCCUGCAGGCUAACAUCAACCACAUCCUCCUCUCCCACACCGCCUUCUCCUCCCUCACCUCUCCACUCCGAAGCACAGAGAACCAAUUCUUAAAGAGAGGUUCACUCCUCUUCACUCAUUCCUCCUCUCUUCCCUCUCGGUCCUUUGUCCUCUUCAUCCCUACCACCCUCUAGUGGUGUCCUGCCUCCUACUGGCCUUCCUCCUCCUCCUGUUCUGGAUGAAUAAUGGGAGGAUGAGGAAGGCGGUCUGCCUGUAAGGACGUGCUGUCUUACUCUGAAGAGAUUUGUGUGGAUUCUGACCAGGACAGCCUCAUGGCUGAGGAGAUUGAGGUGUCCACAGAGAUGCAUGUUCUGGACAAGGUAUUGGAUGAAGAGGAGCUGGACCAAAACAUGUCAAUUGGGGAACAGGAGUUUGGUGAGAUAGAGAGGGGAAAAGAUGAACUGAAAGACAAACAGUACAUGGUAAAGGGUCUGCCAGAUGGCCUGACUGUGGAUGGAGCAAGGCUUCUGUUUGGCCGAGCCCCGAAAUAGAAUGACACUGGAGUUUAUGAAUAUGUGGCGAACAACGGCGUUGGGAAAAGGAAAGUAGAAUGUAACAUCACAGUUACAGGUAAGGGGCAAAUGGGCAAAGUUACUCCUGUAUUUUGCUAAGAUCUGAACAGAAAAACAAAACACUGGUCACGUGCCUUAUUUAUUUUACUGCUGCUCUUUAAUUAUUUGUUACAUUUAUUUAUUUUUCUUAUUUUUCUUAACUGCAUUGUUGGUUAAGGGCUUGUAAGUAAGCGUUUCACUGUAAGGUGAAACCUGUUGUAUUGGCGCAUGUGAUCAUUCUUAAUUUUUUUAUUUGAUGCCUGAUUAGUAAUAUUUGUAAUAUUGCUGCCCACUUGUGAUAAUGAUCUGAAAUACAGAGCUCACUAAAGUUGCAACAAACCUGCAUCCUAUAUACAGUGGGGCCCUUUGUUGUCCUUUGACAGCUCUUUGGUCUUGGCCAUAGUGGAGUUUGGAGUGUGACAGUUUGAGGUUGUGGAC
Molecule: long non-coding RNA, 1770 nt
Organism: Oncorhynchus kisutch (coho salmon)
Lineage: Eukaryota; Metazoa; Chordata; Actinopteri; Salmoniformes; Salmonidae
Exons: 3
Source: RefSeq, a predicted model, not a curated record